RNAcentral lists this long non-coding RNA (725 nucleotides) under Heterocephalus glaber (naked mole-rat). RNAcentral's name for it is "lncRNA (ENSHGLG00100048208.1)". Lineage: Eukaryota; Metazoa; Chordata; Mammalia; Rodentia; Bathyergidae. The record is from RNAcentral.
GGAGAUCGAACUUGGGUCCUUUACAGGUAGAUCUCACUAUGCAGUCCAGGCUGGCCUUGAUCUUGAGGUGAUCUUCCUGCCUCAGCCUACUGAGUGCUGGGAUUACAGGCAUGCACCACUAUACCUGUCACUCAGCCCCAUGCUAUAUCCAGCACCACAGAAACCUCAGUGUCUGGGCUCUGCUGUGUUUGGGGGCACCAGGAAGCCUUGGAGGGGACUAAGACUUGAGACGAAAAGCAACAGCCUGCCCAGAACCUGUGCAUCCUCUGCCCUCCCAAGGUUGGUCUAUGCCAGAAUGAGCCUUGGGCAUCACACAGAAGAGCUGGGCCUCAGUGGCCACAAGGGGGAUCGAAAUCAGGACCUUGUGCUUGCGAGCCAGGCAUGGUGCCACUGAGCUAAAUCCCCUGCUACAGCACUCCUAAUGGACUCUCCUUUGUUUCUGUACCAGCGUCUUCUGUCUUACCUCUUCCUGUAUUUCUUUUUUGCCAAUAAAGAUUUGUUUAUUAUAAAUCACUUGGUCUGUGGUGUUCUGUUUUAGCAGAACAAAAUAGACUCAGUCACCCCUGUGACUCUAGAACAUUUCUCAGCCUUUCUUUGUUUUCUAUGAUGUUGACAUUUUUGAAGAAUACAUUCUUCUUCCCUGAGGGUUUUUUUCCCAUUGAGUUUAUUGGUACAUUUUAGGUAUACAAUAGAGUUACAUUCAUCAUUGGGAUCUUGUACCUUUA